GGUUCCUACGGGGCGCAGCGGUGGGGAAUAUUGGACAAUGGGGGGAACCCUGAUCCAGCGACGCCGCGUGAGUGAAGAAGUAUCUCGGUAUGUAAGGCUCUAUCAGCAGGGAAGAAAGAAAUGACGGUACCUGACUAAGAAGCCCCGGCUAACUACGUGCCAGCAGCCGCGGUAAUACGUAGGGGGCAAGCGUUAUCCGGAUUUACUGGGUGUAAAGGGUGCGUAGGUGGCAGGGCAAGUCAGAUGUGAAAGCCCGGGGCCCAACCCCAGUACUGCAUUUGGAACUGUCCGGCUGGAGUGCAGGG
RNAcentral lists this ribosomal RNA (305 nucleotides) under uncultured bacterium. RNAcentral's name for it is "bacterial SSU rRNA". It matches the Rfam family "Bacterial small subunit ribosomal RNA", at positions 334 to 653 of the family's 1533-position model. The record is from RNAcentral.